RNAcentral lists this ribosomal RNA (253 nucleotides) under uncultured bacterium. RNAcentral describes it as "partial 16S ribosomal RNA". It matches the Rfam family "Bacterial small subunit ribosomal RNA", at positions 524 to 776 of the family's 1533-position model. The record is from RNAcentral.
UACGGGGGGGGCAAGCGUUGUUCGGAAUUACUGGGCGUAAAGGGCUUGUAGGUGGCCAACUAAGUCAGACGUGAAAUCCCUCGGCUAAACCGGGGAACUGCGUCUGAUACUGGAUGGCUGGAGUGUGGGAGAGGGAUGCGGAAUUCCAGGUGUAGCGGUGAAAUGCGUAGAUAUCUGGAGGAACACCGGUGGCGAAGGCGGCAUCCUGGACCGAGAUUGACGCUGAGGCGCGAAAGCCAGGGGAGCAAACGGG